RNAcentral lists this transfer RNA (77 nucleotides) under Thermosipho sp. (in: thermotogales). RNAcentral's name for it is "Thermosipho sp. (in: Bacteria) tRNA-Arg". It matches the Rfam family "tRNA". From Rfam's summary of the family: Transfer RNA (tRNA) molecules are approximately 80 nucleotides in length. Their secondary structure includes four short double-helical elements and three loops (D, anti-codon, and T loops). Lineage: Bacteria; Thermotogati; Thermotogota; Thermotogae; Thermotogales; Fervidobacteriaceae. The record is from RNAcentral. RNAcentral also lists the same sequence under 2 other names.
GCGCCCGUAGCUCAACAGGAUAGAGCGUCGGACUUCGGAUCCGAUGGUUGCGGGUUCAAGUCCUGCCGGGCGCGCCA